Oryza rufipogon (brownbeard rice) is the source of this 189-nucleotide microRNA precursor. It matches the Rfam family "MIR812 microRNA precursor family". Lineage: Eukaryota; Viridiplantae; Streptophyta; Magnoliopsida; Poales; Poaceae. The record is from Rfam.
UUUAAGCGCAGUCAUGAGUUUCCGUGUCCAACUUUGAUAAUCCGUCUUAUUUGAUUUUUUUAUUAGUAUUUUUAUUGUUAUUAGAUAAUAAAAUAUGAAUAGUACUUUAGGCAUGACUUAAGUUUUUUAAUUUUUCUAAAUAAGACGGACAAUAAUAGUUGGACACGAAAACAUAUGGCUUCGCUUAGA